UGGGGAAUUUUGGACAAUGGGGGCAACCUGAUCCAGCAAUGCCGCGUGUGUGAAGAAGGCCUUCGGGUUGUAAAGCACUUUUGUCCGGAAAGAAAACGUCGUGGUUAAUACCCGUGGCGGCUGACGGUACCGGAAGAAUAAGCACCGGCUAACUACGUGCCAGCAGCCGCGGUAAUACGUAGGGUGCAAGCGUUAAUCGGAAUUACUGGGCGUAAAGCGUGCGCAGGCGGUCCGCUAAGACAGAUGUGAAAUCCCCGGGCUUAACCUGGGAACUGCAUUUGUGACUGGCGGGCUAGAGUAUGGCAGAGGGGGGUAGAAUUCCACGUGUAGCAGUGAAAUGCGUAGAGAUGUGGAGGAAUACCGAUGGCGAAGGCAGCCCCCUGGGCCAAUACUGACGCUCAUGCACGAAAGCGUGGGGGAGCAAACAGGAUUAGAUACCCUGGUAGUCCACGCCCUAAACGAUGUCAACNAGUUG
Molecule: ribosomal RNA, 475 nt
Filed under: uncultured bacterium
Lineage: Bacteria
Description: partial 16S ribosomal RNA
Rfam family: Bacterial small subunit ribosomal RNA
Source: RNAcentral